AGGGUUUGAUCAUGGCUCAGGAUGAACGCUAGCGGUAGGCCUAACACAUGCAAGUCGAACGGUAACAUAAGAGCUUGCUCUUGAUGACAAGUGGCGAACGGGUGAGUAACACGUAUACAAUCUACCUUUAACUGAGGAAUAGCCCAGAGAAAUUUGGAUUAAUACCUCAUAGUAUUAUUUUAAGGCAUCUUAUUAUAAUUAAAACUCCGGUGGUUAAAGAUGAGUAUGCUUUCUAUUAGUUUGUUGGUGAGGUAACGGCUCACCAAGACUACGAUAGAUAGGGGGCCUGAGAGGGUGAUCCCCCACACUGGUACUGAGACACGGACCAGACUCCUACGGGAGGCAGCAGUGAGGAAUAUUGCGCAAUGGAGGAAACUCUGACGCAGCCAUACCGCGUGUAGGAAGAAUGUCCUAUGGAUUGUAAACUACUUUUAUACAAGAAGAAACCCCAGUACGUGUACUGGGCUGACGGUAUUGUAAGAAUAAGCACCGGCUAACUCCGUGCCA
This 507-nucleotide ribosomal RNA is filed under the name uncultured bacterium. RNAcentral describes it as "bacterial SSU rRNA". It matches the Rfam family "Bacterial small subunit ribosomal RNA", at positions 8 to 510 of the family's 1533-position model. The record is from RNAcentral.